Molecule: ribosomal RNA, 254 nt
Filed under: uncultured bacterium
Lineage: Bacteria
Description: partial 16S ribosomal RNA
Rfam family: Bacterial small subunit ribosomal RNA
Source: RNAcentral
UACGGGGGGAGCAAGCGUUGUUCGGAUUUACUGGGCGUAAAGGGCGCGUAGGCGGCCACCGCAAGUCGACUGUGAAAUCUCCGGGCUUAACCCGGAAAGGUCAGCCGAUACUGCGGGGCUAGAGUGCAGAAGGGGCAACUGGAAUUCUCGGUGUAGCGGUGAAAUGCGUAGAUAUCGGGAGGAACAUCAGUGGCGAAGGCGGCCUUCUGGUCCAGUACUGACACUCAAGUGCGAAAGCGUGGGGAGCAAACAGG